AGUGAACGCUGGCGGUAGGCCUAACACAUGCAAGUCGAACGGCGGCACAGUAAGAGCUUGCUCUUACGGGUGGCGAGUGGCGGACGGGUGAGGAAUACAUCGGAAUCUACUUUUUCGUGGGGGAUAACGUAGGGAAACUUACGCUAAUACCGCAUACGACCUACGGGUGAAAGCAGGGGAUCUUCGGACCUUGCGCGAUUGAAUGAGCCGAUGUCGGAUUAGCUAGUUGGCGGGGUAAAGGCCCACCAAGGCGACGAUCCGUAGCUGGUCUGAGAGGAUGAUCAGCCACACUGGAACUGAGACACGGUCCAGACUCCUACGGGAGGCAGCAGUGGGGAAUAUUGGACAAUGGGCGCAAGCCUGAUCCAGCCAUACCGCGUGGGUGAAGAAGGCCUUCGGGUUGUAAAGCCCUUUUGUUGGGAAAGAAAAGAAGCAGGUUAAUACCCCGCUGUUCUGACGGUACCCAAAGAAUAAGCACCGGCUAACUUCGU
RNAcentral lists this ribosomal RNA (491 nucleotides) under uncultured bacterium. RNAcentral's name for it is "partial 16S ribosomal RNA". It matches the Rfam family "Bacterial small subunit ribosomal RNA", at positions 29 to 506 of the family's 1533-position model. The record is from RNAcentral.